UACGGAAGGCAGCAGUGGGGAAUAUUGCACAAUGGGCGCAAGCCUGAUGCAGCCAUGCCGCGUGUAUGAAAAAGGCCUUCGGGUUGUAAAGUACUUUCAGUCGUGAGGAAGGUGUUAAGGUUAAUAACCUUAGCAAUUGACGUUAGCGACAGAAGAAGCACCGGCUAACUCCGUGCCAGCAGCCGCGGUAAUACGGAGGGUGCGAGCGUUAAUCGGAAUUACUGGGCGUAAAGGGCACGCAGGCGGUUAAUUAAGUUGGAUGUGAAAUCCCCGGGCUUAACCUGGGAAUGGCAUUCAAGACUGGUUAGCUAGAGUCUUGUAGAGGGGGUAGAAUUCCAUGUGUAGCGGUGAAAUGCGUAGAGAUGUGGAGGAAUACCGGUGGCGAAGGCGGCCCCUGGACAAAGACUGGACGCUCAUGUGCGAAAGCUGGGGAGCAAACAGGGAUUAGAUACC
Molecule: ribosomal RNA, 453 nt
Filed under: uncultured bacterium
Lineage: Bacteria
Description: bacterial SSU rRNA
Rfam family: Bacterial small subunit ribosomal RNA
Source: RNAcentral